CUUUACAUCUGAUAGUGGACUUGAGCAGUUACCAUCCAUCACUAAAAUAUUGAUGAUAUUAGUGAUCUCUCAAGCUCUUCAUUCAUUGCUCCCAAUAGAUUAUUGCCAAUUUCAACAACUUCAUAAAUGUAAAGUGAAUAAAAAAGUGAUUUACGAAAUGAAUAACAAUAUUGAUAUAUCGAGUAUUUUCAUGGUGAUUAUCAACAAAAAAGGCAAAAAGGUACAUUAUGUCUUAUUGGCAGUCAUUUUGUUACUUACAGCAUCAAUUGGAUCCAUUAUCAUGUUCAAUGCCUAUGUAGAUAUUUUAACCGCCAAAACUUUACGUGAAAAGAUUUUUUGUGUUUUACAGUUUUUAAUUGGAAUUUCAAUAAUUAUUGAUUACUUUUUCCUGGUAUUUGUAUCUGAUUGGAAACGAUUUGUUGAAUUUAUCCAAAUUUGGAAUAAAACUGGUCUACAAGAUGAUGAAGAGAUAAUCAAUUACAUCAAAAGUGAACGUAAAAAAAUAUCGUGUCAUUAUUUUCGCUCUUGAUAUUCUUUUCACAACUACAGUCUCUUUAUUCAGUCCACAAUAUGGUCAAAGACUGCACCAAAUCAGUGUGUGUCACUUGGCGGCAGUCAUUUGCACAAGUUUCGCUUACUCUCUUUUAUUCAGUUUGGUUAGUGAUUUUCCCGUUGCAAUUUGCACUCAUCAUUUGCACCGUAUUUAUCCGUGUUAAUCAACGACUCGAGCAUCUGAUUGAACAUCCUGACUCAGUUGACGACAACAUUAGAUCAAUUCGUUUUAUGCACUCUGUCGGUUCACAAUUGGCUCUAAAAGCCGAUCAAUUCGUUCGCUACUUUACAGCAGCCAAUUAUUCCAUUAUGGUUUCAUUUAUUCUGAUUAAUCUUUAUAGCAUCAUUUUCUUGUCAGAAUCAUUGAAUGACUAUUUUGCUGGGACUGGUGUACAAGUUGUUGUCACCUCAGUGGCUGCUAUGUUCACGUACUAUGCAAUCAAAAUAAAUCAUUUGGCCUCAAAGGGGUUUCAUCAUGCAUAUCAAUUGACUUUUAUUGCGAACAGUCCAAAUCAUUUUGCAGAGACUUCUUUACUUGUAUACAGAAUGGGCCGUAAUGAUAUUGGACUUACAUUUGCUAAUCUAUUUACCAUCACAGCAUCAUUCGUCACUUCUCUGGUUACUCUUUGUAUAACAUUCAUUUUGGCCUUUCCAACAAUUCAAUGCUGAAGAGGAUAUCGUGAUUGAAGAGACUGUCGCUGUCAAGUUAUUAAACAAAUCCGUUGUGGUCCGAUGAAGUCCUCAUUAAACUUUUAGAUGAAAGGAAGAGAACCAUAAUUCAUAUCAAAUCAUAUUUUCCAUCAACGAACACUUUUUUUGUGUAUCAGAUAAUGUUCAUGUAAAUAAAGGAAACUAGUCACUAGUUGAAACCUCAAAA
This is a non-coding RNA of Tetranychus urticae (two-spotted spider mite), 1429 nucleotides long. Lineage: Eukaryota; Metazoa; Arthropoda; Arachnida; Trombidiformes; Tetranychidae. The record is from RefSeq and is a predicted model, not a curated record.